AGUGAACGCUGGCGGUAGGCCUAACACAUGCAAGUCGAACGGCAGCACAGUAAGCGCUUGCCCUUACGGGUGGCGAGUGGCGGACGGGUGAGGAAUACAUCGGAAUCUACUUUUUCGGGGGGGAUAACGGAGGGAAACUUAUGCUAAUACCGCAUACAACCUACGGGUGAAAGCAGUGGAUCAUCAGGCCUUUCGCGUCUGAAUGAGCCGAAGUCGGAUUAGCUUGUUGGCGGGGUAAAGGCCCACCAAGGCGACGAUCCGUAGCUGGUCUGAGAGGAUGAUCGGCCCCACUGGAACUGAGACACGGUCCAGACUCCUACGGGAGGCAGCAGUGGGGAAUAUUGGACAAUGGGCGCAAGCCUGAUCCAGCCAUACCGCGUGGGUGAAGAAGGCCUUCGGGUUGUAAAGCCCUUUUGUUGGGAAAGAAAAGCAGCAGGUUAAUACCCCGCUGUUCUGACGGUACCCAAAGAAUAAGCACCGGCUAACUUCGUG
RNAcentral lists this ribosomal RNA (492 nucleotides) under uncultured bacterium. RNAcentral describes it as "partial 16S ribosomal RNA". It matches the Rfam family "Bacterial small subunit ribosomal RNA", at positions 29 to 507 of the family's 1533-position model. The record is from RNAcentral.